RNAcentral lists this long non-coding RNA (255 nucleotides) under Elaeis guineensis (African oil palm). Its description in RNAcentral is "long non-coding RNA (EGUI_LNC034471)". The record is from RNAcentral. Lineage: Eukaryota; Viridiplantae; Streptophyta; Magnoliopsida; Arecales; Arecaceae.
GUUUGAUCAUCAUAUGAUAGUGAAUACAGGAUGUCAUAAUUUAUAUCACCUAAUUUGUAUAUAAUUAUGUCUUGACUAUAGGAUGUAAUAAUUUCAACACAUGAUAUUAAAAUUAAUUUAUGAUAUUCUGAGUAAAAAUUAUAUUAUUGUAGGUUAAAAUUAUGACAUCCAAUACAGUAAAUAUUUUUGAAUAUAAAAUUAUGAUAUCUUAAAUCAAAUUAUAAUAUUUUAUAUCAAAAUUAUAACAUCCAGCAU